Molecule: non-coding RNA, 6847 nt
Organism: Pelodiscus sinensis (Chinese soft-shelled turtle)
Lineage: Eukaryota; Metazoa; Chordata; Testudines; Trionychidae
Source: RefSeq, a predicted model, not a curated record
UUGAGAAAGAAACACUGUAUUUUUGUAUACUUUUACCCCAUAGUACCCUAUAGUAUAGGGUAAAAGCACAAAGAAAGACCAGAUUUCAUGGUCUAUGAUACAUUUUCCACCAAUGUGAAUUUUGGUCCUCUUCUCCCCACCUGGGCUCAGUAGGAGCCUCUUGUAGGUAGAGUAAUCAGAGUAUCUGGGAAGAUAUCCAUGCAGUGCAGUUAAGCGGGAUCGCAUGGUAAAUAGUGCCAUAAUGGUGACUAAUUGAAUCACAGGGGCAACAUGACCACAGCCAAGCCAAAAAGACUCAAGUUUUCCGAGGAGGAGAAGUUCCUCAUCCUUGAGGAAUUCAGCCUACGGAAGGACAUCCUGAUCCCCAAGAGCGGGCGCUAUAAGAACACAAUGGAUCGUCAACGAGCAUGGGAAGAGAUCACAGCUGCCGUCAACUCCCUCAGCCCACUCGUGCAGCGCACACCUGAUGAGAUCCGCAAGAAAUGGCAUAACAUGGUCGUUGAUGCCCGCAAGGAGCUGACCACAGUGAAACACCCCUUGCUGAGGCAGCGGCCUCAGGAGAGGCUCUUCCACAACAUCUUUGCUCUCUUCAAUAAGACAGGGCCAGAGUUGGCAGAGCCAUUGCUCCCGGGCCCUGCUCUCAGAACAAAGCCAUCUAGCAGCCUGGCUGGAACCACAGCACCAAACUGCACUGUGGAGAGGAUCCGUGAAACUCCUUCGGAUUUAUUCUUUCACGGCCAGAAUGACGGACUUCAGCGGAGCCAGGGCAACGAGCUGCUCUGCAAAACAGAGGUCCUUUUGGACCCGGACAGAGAAAUGGCAUCAGGGACUGGCACUCCAGGAGAGAGCCUCCUCCAUGCACCAAGGGAUCCACAGCCCAGUGAGGAAUCUGACUGCAAAGAGGAUUUGUGCUUGGGUGGAUCUCAAGAGUGUAUGGAAAAGAGACUGCUGGCCCCCAGCAAGGAUCCAACACUGAUCUGUGCUCCUGUAGCUGAGACACACCUUGUGCCAAUUCACAGAUCCAUCUCACCGCUGAGCUAUGGACCUGAAGGACCUGCCCCUGCCAGGACUCCAGUGCCUCUGAACUGCUCCCCAGACUUUGCAUUGGCCUAUAAGACUAAGUGCCCUUUGAGCCCUGUAUUCGAAUGGCCUUGCCUAGGCGUCAUCUCAAGUCCAGUCACACACAGCAGCAGGACUGACAGCCCCAGCCCCGAAGGCAUCCACACAGCACUGGAUGAUAAUGCAAGCACAUCUGUGACGGACGAUUCGCUGCCCAGCCAGAAGGGCUGUGUUGGGCCAACCAAAGAGCUUUGGGAGACGCACAGCCGGCUGCACACUGAUAUCCUGGAGCUGCAGAAAGAGACCUUGCAACUGCAGAAGGAAAAGAUCCUGCUGGAGAAAGAGAAACUUCUACUGGAAAUUGUCAAACUGCGGCGAGAACUGGAUACAUGACCAUCCACCGGGGAAUAACCUGCACUGCCGCCGUCGGUGGGGCUCAGAGCCCAGUUCACACCUGCUUGGCUCCACGUACCCUGUUCCCUGGGACUGCAUGUACUUGAGUGAAAAAAACAUUGCUUGCUCCUCAGAAUGCGCAGGAGAGAACUAAGCCGAACAGCACAGCCGUGAAUGGGAGAGGCUCUUUUUCCUGUGCUGGACCAGAGAAUUCAUUUCCCUGAUGCUCUUUGAGUGAAAUCUGCACCCAAGAUAUCGGGGGUAGGGAAGACCUGUUGUGACUUUGGUGGCAUAGUACAAAACUUGCACAGGUUUGGGAGAAUGAAGGGGCCUGUGUAGGGCCCCUCCCUUAGCCAGGUGCAGAGCAGUCCAGAGUCCAGGGAAGAGAGGCUGUACCUGCACAUGGAACAGCAGCAAAGCAUGUAAUUCCACUAUGUAGGCUUCCCUUGCUGUAUUGCAUGUUGCAGAGAAGACCAAACAUAUAGCAGCACCAUUGCUUCCUUCCUCUCUCCCUUUCAGCCACUAAGCCACGAGCAGGAAUUUAAACCAGUAUUUUCUUUUUUUCCAUGUUGACAUAAACUUACUAAGUAGCGAAGCAUCAGAGCAACCACUCCCUGUCCAGGUGUAUGACUCACGAAGCUGCCCAACAUUGCACGUUUGCUUAUGGGAAGAGAGAGCUAUGUCCGCAGCAGAACAUGGAGUCCAGGAUUAAGCACUGAACGCAGUCUUCCACACUGGGCAGGAGGGAUUCUCAAGCCCCCUGCACUCUGUUCCCCUUGCAGCGUGUAAAAGGAAGCCCCUGUGGAUUCGAGUGCCCUAGGAUCUCUUGCCUUGAGCUGUGGCAAUGCUGCCAAUAAAUCCACUGCACAGCUGAACUGCUGCUGAAGAGGCUGUUUGCUCCCCUUCCUGGGGAGAAUGCCCAGCCUUAUAAAGAGACAAGCGGGUGAGGUAAUAUCUUCUAUUGGACCCAGAGAAGAGCUCUGUGUAUUCUUGAAAGCUUGUAUCUCACCAACACAGUUGGUCCAAUAAAAGAUAUUACCUCAUCCACCUUAUCCCUCUGCCAUCCUGGGACCAGCUCAGCGACAACAUUACUGCAUAGCCCUGGAAAGAGCAUUGCUGAAGAAUUUUGCUCCAACCACAAGAGACUAGUGUAGUGGAUGCAAAGGCUGCUUGUUCUCCUUCCAAUCCCCCCUCCCACUCGUAUGCAGCAAUGAUUAGGGCCCUUUGUUUUUGGUUUUCACUUUAUUUAAUUUUUUCCCUGGAAUAUAUGUUUAUUAAAACAAUAAAAACAUGAAAUUUGGCACAAAAAAUUAUUUUCUGGGUAAAUCUUGGAAUUUAUUUUGGUGGAUAGGAUGGGGUAAAAGAUAUUCACUAACAUUUUGAUGACUGGAAUUCAACGUGGUUUGCUGCAAAACUAAAACAGAACUCAAACACAUCACCACCUUAGAGUUUACAAAAACUACACAUCACUAGACCCCAAAUAAAACUUUUCAUUUGCAGAAACAGUUACUAUCAUGGACUUAGAACUAUUCGCCUAUAAAUAUUGGCAUUUAAUAAUUAGGCCACAAACAUCAUCCUUUUUUUCCUGUUUUUUUUUUUUUUUUUUUUUUUACUUUUGAACACAUACUUGUGAUCUGAUGCUUAUUCUGACACAGAUUUUGGUUUUCUUUCCAUUUUGGUGUAUCAAGUCUUUAAACCACUAUUGUCUGCUAGCAGCUUGAAAUGUGUAUGUGGUGGCUGUGAGCUUAAUCAGUAUGUUCAGAGGCCUAUGCACUUCAGAGCUUGUGUGCAUGCUUGUUUAUUGAGUGUAUCUUCUACUAUUACAUAGCCUUACUUCAACAGGGAGCUCUGCAAACACACAAAUUAAUGUAUUAGCAUAAUACAUCUAUAGUUCAUGCAAUGUAUUGUAUUUUCUUAAUAAAACAAGUUACUUGUUAUAUAUGUGAAAGAUACAAAAGCAGGAUGGAAAGUCUGAAAAAAACCAAAUACUGUUUUUAAAACCUGGGAUUUUUAUUCUGGUAAAAAUAAAAUCAGUUUAAACUGAAAACUAAGGAGGCUUAAGCAUGGUGUAUCUACAAAGUCUGCUGAGGGUGGCCUGGCUUGUAGGAUUACUUCUACUAACCAUGGCAUUACAGUCACAGGAAUAUGAGCGGAGGAGGCAAAGCAGAUACUCACGCUUACCAAAUGCCUUUUUCCCCCAAUGUACUCAAAGCACAUAGGGAUUCUCAUUUACAGAUGGGGCACUGAAGUGAAGUGUCUUAUCAAAGAUCGGCUAGGGAGUGAGUGGAAAAAGCCAGGGACAGAUCCAACUUUCUGGAUGCCUGGUACCCAUGACUUGUCCAUAGGCUCUGCUGCCUCUUAGGCAAGUCCCCAGCACCCACUCUCACGUUGGGAGGAUACAAACACUGAGGUCACCAGACUCAAUGCAGCAAUUUGCACCAUCAUGCAGCCAGUCUGGACUUCCAAUAGCUUUGGUCAGGGCCAGCUUUAACUAGUCCCUACUAAGUGGCUCCCAAUGGAAGGGAAAGAUGGAGGACAGCCAACUGAGUUCCACUGCUCCAUGCACAGACUACUUCACAAGCCCCUCUACCUUGGCAAUAAAGCAGCUCCUCAGAGCCCAUGUCACCUUCUCAGACAAAGUCACCCUCCAACCCUUCCCUGGCAUCCAACGACUGUGUUUUGUACUUUUAAAAAGAGUCACAAAUCAACAGUUCCCAGACACUUGGCAGUCUCGAUUCCUUUUGCACUGCCAGAGUGACAUUAAAAUGCCAACCCAGCAUGAGGCUGAGAGCGCUGUGACCUGACCAAAUUGGCAAAAGGAACAGUCUUUUUGAGGCUUGCUGGACUUUAGCAUUUUGCCAGGUUCUGACUGGAUUUUCUGCCUUUUCAACCAGCCUCUGGCACAUUAGAACUUCUCACUUCAAAGUCUAUUACUGAGCAGAGACCGAUGUCUUUCACUAUGAGGAGAAAAAAAAAAAAAGUAUGUGGGCCAGAUUCUGAUCUCACUUACGCCAGUGUAAAUCAGGCGAGACUCCACUUGGAGUCAAUGCAAUUACUCUGGAUUUACACUGGUGUUAGAGAGUAGAACUUAUCCCUUUGUCUGCAAUUCUCCAGAAGGUAGCAGAAACCCCUUUACUGAGCUGGGAGCUUCACGAGAAUUUCCUGAAUGCACCCAGCACCUCUUGGUAUCAAAUCUGUGCUAUUAGGGUGGGACUCUAGGCAGCCCGAUGGGCUCACUCAAGGCCAUGCAUCUGCUGUGCCCCGCACUGGGCAAACUAGGGGCUGGUGUUAGCAUCUGGACACUAGGUAGAUCUGCCACUUGGCUUUCUUUCAAAUCAGAGCCCUCAGGUAAAGGGGUGAGGGAAUGAGGAAGUGUGAAAAUUACUGAUUUAGUUCCUUUCAAGUUUCCGUAACCCCCUUAAAGAGAAGGAAGAUUCACCUAGACACAGUGCUUGCCCUUGUACCAAUAUUUCACUACAUGCCAGCCCUCUGCAUCCAACAGAUCACAGCAUGACAAAGCAAAAUACAAGUAUUAUAGGCAGCUGCCAAUUUCCAUUUAAGGAGGAUUUGAGAGGGCAAAGUGAAGCAGAAGAAAGCAGCUCAGCUAACUGUAGGCCUAACAGGCUGGGGGAGAGGGUGGAGGAGAUUUCUCAGUGGGUGAAAAGCUGCUUCUCCCCUCAGGCAGCAGGCUGCAGAGCUUCAUCCGCCCCCGUUUCAGCCAGAUCACUACUCUCGGCUCCACCCAUGUGGGGAAACAGACAGCGAAAUGCUGCACCUGAAGUCACCACCCCCCUGCACAAGGCAGUCUCUCCACAGAUGCUGCCAGAGCAUGACCCCUUCUCCCCUGCAUAGGCCCAGCCCACAGUCUAAUACUGGGAGAGCAUCCCCAGCUCCAGCCCCUGCACAAACUGGUGGCCAGUGCCUCUCAGCCGGGAAUCCUUGCGACCAGAUUCUUAGUUGCUGCUAAGCUUGGUAAUCCAGUGACACUGGUGCCCACUCUUGAGACCUAGGGAGCCAAAGGCCUGUGGACUGUUGGAACCCCUUGGUGGCCACAGCUUGUCCCCUUGUAGCAGUGCUCUCUGCAUUACUGGGCCAUGGCCGGGGCCAAGAGGGGCCUUGGGUAAGUCAUAUCUCUGUGCACCCACCUGCAGGACAAGGACACCUCCCCCCACAGGGGCCACUAUCUCCUGGAAAUGGAGAGUGCUAAGCAGGCCCUGAGUCCCACCCUGACCGCCAGGAAUGGGCCUUGACAAGCAGUCCAUCCAGGUCUGUGUCACGCUGUUGUGCUACAAAUAAUGGGCUUCAGAGGCCUGACAGACAAAUGGUGAAGGGCACAGGGGAGCAUGCUGGGACCAGGCUACCACCCAGUCUCCCUCAGCUACCUUCCCCCCCAUCCCCAGAGGCAGAGAUAGGCCCCGGAGACCCUCAGAGCCUUGCAUCCCUCUUGCUAACCCUGUCCCACGAGACACUGCCCCCUCACCUCAUUGUUUACAGAGGACUGAUGAGAACCACCACAGGCUGAGCUGCCAAGCUCCCCUCCCCCAGUUCCAAAGCAGCAGCUGCUGACUUUGCACUUCAGGAGCCAAGCAGCAUGGGAAACCUCUGAAAAACAAACCAAGCUCCCCAGGGAAGCCAGCACCUGAGGUCAAAGCAGCUGAACCCACAGCAGGCAGAACCACUAUGGAUUAUGUGUGGCUACAGGCCUGGAAUCUACCCACGCCCAAAACUUCCUACAGUCCCUUUAAGCCCUGCCCUCCAAACUGUGCCAGUCAUGACUGUAGCUCAGGACAGCUGCCAAGUCUCUCUGCCCUGCCCCAUGUGAGCUGGGAAUGUUUAUCUGACAAACCAUGCUGUGGAUCACCCCACUGUGCACAGAGCUUGGACGUGUCAGCUUCUGCUGCAGACAGCCUGUUUGCCCAUCCUACCAUGCAUGUCUGUCUGAAAGAAGCAGUCAACAGUUGUAUAUGCACGUGUGUGUCAAUGCUAGCCAGCACAAAUUACUAUUUUGCAUCCCUGGCACUUUAAGAUGAAACAUAAUAAAUAAGAGGGAAUUUCUCUCACACACACACACACACACACACACACACACACACACACACACACACACACACACACACACACACACACACUCUUCAUUUACAUAGUCACAAAGGUCCUCCCACCCCAAUGAGGUAGUUAGGAGUGGAGAAUGGUCAGAUUAGGGCUUCUAGGCCUCACACCUCAAGGGUGGGGCCUUAUGUGAAGUACACAGGGCUCCUGCAUUCUUGGCCAUGAGAAAGUUUUAACAGCAUUCCCAGAGGCACUAGACAUUUCUAAGGCUAGUGAGAUCAUCCAGUUACACUGAACAGGAUACAAAACAAGCCAUAUAAAUAGGGUUGCCAGAUACUUCCACAAA